RNAcentral lists this ribosomal RNA (429 nucleotides) under Pseudomonadota bacterium. RNAcentral describes it as "Proteobacteria bacterium partial 16S ribosomal RNA". It matches the Rfam family "Bacterial small subunit ribosomal RNA", at positions 355 to 776 of the family's 1533-position model. The record is from RNAcentral. Lineage: Bacteria; Pseudomonadati; Pseudomonadota.
UGGGGAAUAUUGGACAAUGGGCGAAAGCCUGAUCCAGCCAUGCCGCGUGUGUGAAGAAGGUCUUCGGAUUGUAAAGCACUUUAAGUUGGGAGGAAGGGCAGUAAGCGAAUACCUUGCUGUUUUGACGUUACCGACAGAAUAAGCACCGGCUAACUCUGUGCCAGCAGCCGCGGUAAUACAGAGGGUGCAAGCGAUAAUCGGAAUUACUGGGCGUAAAGCGCGCGUAGGUGGUUCGUUAAGUUGAAUGUGAAAGCCCCGGGCUCAACCUGGGAACUGCAUCCAAAACUGGCGAGCUAGAGUAGGGCAGAGGGUGGUGGAAUUUCCUGUGUAGCGGAGAAAUGCGUAGAUAUAGGAAGGAACACCAGUGGCGAAGGCGACCACCUGGGCUCAUACUGACACUGAGGUGCGAAAGCGUGGGGAGCAAACAGG